Molecule: long non-coding RNA, 1302 nt
Filed under: Ictidomys tridecemlineatus (thirteen-lined ground squirrel)
Lineage: Eukaryota; Metazoa; Chordata; Mammalia; Rodentia; Sciuridae
Description: lncRNA (ENSSTOG00000031269.1)
Source: RNAcentral
GAAACCAGUUGUGCUCCAGAUUCUCCCAGCCCAGCCACGCAUGCUCCCUCCCACCUGCAAAGCAACGGGUCUGACGGCGCGCAAGGGCUUCUGGGAAUCGUAGUUCCUGGUGGGAGGGGCUGGUCGGCGUUGCCCCGGCUUCUUACGCAUGCGCGACUCCGAGCUGGCCUGAGAAGUUCGUAGCCUUUGUCAGGCCCGGGAUGGGAGCCAUGUCUUCCCAGGAUUCCCCCCUCUGCCAAGAGAAGAACACAGAUGAGGAAGAAGUGGCAGCUAUGUGCCUCACAGCCAGAUCACAGGUGAGUGUGAGUCUACUGGUGAUAGAAGUCCCACCUUAUUUCUCAGAGUACAGGUGUGCUCCCUUCUUUUUGAUAAAAGUUUCUUUUUUUUACUAGAGCCCAUCUAGAGAGCUGAGUUCUAAUUCUGAGAGAUUAAUGAAUUUGGUAGGAAAUACUUUCUACUUUUCCAUAGUACCUCAAUUCUCCACCUAGUUUUUAUUGUCCCUCUACAGGCAGGUAAGCAACAUUUCCCUUCUUUGGCCUACUUUGCUAUUUCUGUGCUUGGUAAUGUGGGAAACUAUUUUAAACAUAAUGUCAUGAAUGAAUGCAUGUGAUUUGAUGAAUGAAUGGAGGAAAGAAUGCAUGUUACUAUAUGUAGGAGUUUAAGAAAACAUCUUAAGUUAUGAAGUGAUUAGAAGGCAAUUAAUACUCAAAUAGUUCAAAUGAGUGCUAUAAAAGGGAAGCUUAGGAAGGGAUAAAAUAACUGUUAGAAUCCAGCCCAGCCCUCCAAAGGGGCGAAUGCUGGAGUAUUAUUUCUGCAACUUACUCUUAUAUCAUUGCUACCCCUUCCCUGUGCAAGAGCAGCUAUGGCAAAUGUUAGGAAUUUUUGAAUUCAUGUAGUGGUUGUACAGUGGAUAAUUAUUGUUUUUCUUUAAACUUUCAUAUGUUUUCAGCCCUUUUUAUUUAGAGACAGGGUCUCACUAAGUUGCUCACGGCCUUGCUAAGUUGCUGAGGCUAGCUUUGAACUUGCAAUCCUCAUGCCUCAGCCUUCCAAGUUGCUGAGAUUGUAGGCUUGCACCAUAGCGCCUGGCUUUUAUUUCUUAGAUCUCAUAUUAUUACCAUUUUGUAAACUUUAAACUUUGGAAAAACUGUAAACAUAAGAAAUGUUGCAAAGAAUACUAGAUAUCUUGUCCAGAUUCUCUAGAAGUUAACAUUUUUACUUUGCAUUAUUUCUUUUUUCUAGAAUUAGGACAUUAACAAUAGUAUAAUACCAUACCCUGCUGACCUUCAGAUUUUCCAUCUGUCU